This 253-nucleotide ribosomal RNA is filed under the name uncultured bacterium. Its description in RNAcentral is "partial 16S ribosomal RNA". It matches the Rfam family "Bacterial small subunit ribosomal RNA", at positions 524 to 776 of the family's 1533-position model. The record is from RNAcentral.
UACGUAGGGUGCAAGCGUUGCCCGGAUUUAUUGGGCGUAAAGGGCGCGUAGGCGGGCCGCCAGGUCCGGGGUGAAAGCCUCCAGCUCAACUGGAGAAGUGCCUUGGAUACCGGCGGCCUCGAGGGAGGUAGGGGCGUGCGGAACUUCCGGUGGAGCGGUGAAAUGCGUUGAGAUCGGAAGGAACGCCGGUGGCGAAAGCGAGCUCCUGGACGUUUUCUGACGCUGAGACGCGAAAGCCAGGGGAGCGAACGGG